Long non-coding RNA from Lepidothrix coronata (blue-crowned manakin), 3178 nucleotides. RefSeq lists it as uncharacterized. The transcript has 3 exons. The record is from RefSeq and is a predicted model, not a curated record. Lineage: Eukaryota; Metazoa; Chordata; Aves; Passeriformes; Pipridae.
CGGCGCCGGCGGGACAGUGGGGUGUGGGGGGAGAAGGUUCCUGAUCCCGAGGCCGAGUUGCUGGACAGGGAAGCACUCGCUCGAAGAGCAGUCGUUUUCACCUGAUCUUGACUCUCUGGGUGAAGAACAACAUUCAGUGGGUGGAAGAAUAUACAUGCACUGAAGAUUAACGAGCUUUUUAUUUAGAUUGACAACUACAAUCUACCAAUCUGCUGUACAAAGCGUCCAAUACCCUUGUGUCAUGCUAGCGUAGCUCCAGGCACUCAUCUUGCCCGAGCCUUUGCAGAGGCUGCCGAGAUCAGCCCUUCCUUCGCUGGCAGCAGCAGGGUCUAAGUGAGUCUGGAGGAUAUCAGCUCGCUAAUGGCACGUAAUGGUGAUGAAAGAUGUGAAGGUACCAAGUGAAGGUUACAGAAAGUGACAAGAUCAGGCAGAAUAAUGCUGCUUUGGAAAACUGGACUUUAGUCAUGCCAGUGAUAUAGUCAUUACAUUACAUUAAUGAAGUUUUUUUCAACCUAACGUGGUGUAUAGAUGCGCUGAGCCUUUGUUGCAAAUACAGUAAUGGUCAUGCUUUGUCUGUCCUGUAAGUCUCUGCACACUGACAAGUUAAGUUCUCUGAAAUCUCUCACACUUUAAUCACCCAAAAUAAGAUUUUUGUAAUCUCAGUACCUCAAGGCUAUAUCUCUAAAAGGGAGGUGAUGACAUGCUCCUUAGCUCUGAGUGGUUCAUGAAAAUAAAUUUAAUAAUGUCUGCAAAAAUAUGAGGCUGGGGUGGUAAGUAUCCUGAGAAAAAUGAUCUUCUCUUCAAAAACGAUUUGCUUAUUGUGCAAAAAAAUAAGUAAAAAAGAUUGAACAGUGGAAAAAAACUACUGAACAGAAAGCACUUUUCAAUUGUAGCACUGAAUUCAGAAGAAAGCUAUGAAAACGCAGCACUUGGUAGUCUUUAAUGGCACAAAUACAGUAAAAAUUGAAUCUAACCUUAAUUUUUCAAUUUUACGAUUCCUGAGUGCUCAUUUUCGUUACCGAGAUAAUAUUCUGUGAAAUAUACUUUUCCAUGGGGUAAUUCAUAUGCAUGUACACUGCAUAUCCCCAUGCACUAGGUAGCUGCUACUUGUCAGCAGUUUGAACCUUUGCCAAACACAUCUCUCUGGUGUUAUCCUCACCAGAGCAUUUCCAAAUAAUACUAUGGUAGGUUGCCAUUCUAAACCAAAUACUUUAAUAUCCCUGUCAUGAACAAUCCUCCUGAAGGGCAAAAAUGCCAACCGACAUAACAGCCAUCCUUCUGGAGAAUCUCUGAUGCCCUGUCUCAUUCUAUUUUUGUGCAAACCAUUUCUCUUCAGUAGCAAAUAGGAACUCAACCUCUAUUUUAAUUAUUCAUAUUGUCCAUCUUUCCUGCUGACUCUGCACCUCUCCAGAGCAAGUAUGUCUUUGGAUGAGUGAGGGGAUGAAAAGUAAAGAUUUCUGGAUGGGAAAUAAUGGGGUUUGAUGGCUUACGAUAAAUUUUCAAUUACAUGGUGAGACUAGCCAAAGCACUGCUGGAAAGAACUGUUCAUCUGGUAACAUUUUCACCUUCUGCUAUAGCAUAAAAGGCUAGGGCUUUUUCACUCGACUCCCUCUAAAGGGAGAGUCCUAAUGAGCAUUGCGGUUCUGUCCUUCUCAGCAGGAGGUGUGGAUUACAGAUGGAGAGCUAAUGAAAGCUAUCAGAUAAAAUGAGGAAUUUAUGCACACUGCUUUUGAUGUCAAAGAAAGGCACCUUAAGCAAUGAAUACUUAUUCAUUCCAUUUGUGUACUUAAGAAUUCAUAAAAUACUUGGAUAAAAACUGACACCUUUUCAUGGCUCGGUAUUUGGAUGUCAUUUAGCAUCACCCUCCCCCAGUGGAAUUAUUCUGUGUAUUUCUCUGGUCAGAGAUAAUGAGGAAUCUCAUUCUACUGUGCCCCCCUCUACACAUAUAUAUAUAACAGAAGAGACUGUCUGUAAUUUACAAUGUUCGUUAUCUCCAGUGGAUGCAGGAUUGGUAAUCCUAUGUGCUCCAAACCACAUUAUGGGCAUAGCUGGAAGACUACCAAGGAGUCCCUUUAUAGUCUCAAAUAAACACAGCUAAAUUGAGAAGGCUACAUCUAAAAAGGGACGGAAAACCAUCUCUGUGCACAUCUCUAGCAGUCUGCAGGGACUGAACAAUAAUUUAGCUAUAUGCCAUCAAGUGAAAAGUAUUGUGUAUGUAUCCUUAUCAUUAUACUCUGGGCAGUUUCCAAAACAUAUUAGAGGCUGCUGAAGAAGAUCAUCACAGCACUUUGGAUUCUGCCAACCUGCAUUUGAACUCACAGAUUAGUAGUAAGAAGCUCCAAGUCCCAUUUGGUGUUCUACUAAAUCUGGUUCUGCAGCAAAGCACAAGGGAAAUUUAAAUUCCUAUGCUAAUAAAAAAUUGCUGGGUUUGAAUUAGUUAUGAAAUGAGCAAUUUGGUACUGUUUUUUUAAUAGUAAAUAGGAAUGGGAAAAUAUUCUUUUAAAUCCUUAUCCUGUAAGGAAAGACAUCAAAAAAUAAACAAACCAGUGACAGAAACUUAUGGGCAAAUGCUGAAAUCACAAAAUUGGAAGGGAGGGAAAGGGAGUGUUUGAGUGGCCUACCAUGAGUUCAUCCCCCGCAUUUUGUUUUAACAUUUUUGCUGGUGAAGUUUCUUUCUUUCCACCCAGAAAACAAUCACGUGGCCAGUGUCUUCAGAUGGCAUUACACGUGCAGUCAUUUACAGAAUAGCUUCCAGUAGGCCUCAAAAGCCAUCACUGAAUUGUGCUUUAGAAACCCAUAGCACAGCCAAAUUGCAAAAUUCUGGUUUUUAAAUCCUUAAUCAGGCACUUUUGCUGACUUCAAAGUCUGUUAAUUUCUCCUUUCGCUCAGUGCAUCUGCGUGUACUUUUCCUUUUCCUGAGAUGCUGUUUUCUGCACAUUUUUUAUAAAUACUGCUAAUCACAUGCAUUGACUAAGAAAAAAUAGCCAGGCUUGUAAGUUCUUUUUUUUUCUCCUGGAAAAAUGCCACUGGGAAGAUCUAACUAAAGUGGCUGCAAUGAUGGCCGCAGCUGGUGCUCUUAUCAAAACUGGAUCCCCCCUCAUUGCUCUUGGCUCUGGGCUGCAAAGAGUAGAAAAGCUGGGAGACACUGAAAAGAGUGAUGGUCCUGGCAUCCUCAGAU